AUGGUUUAUUCCCAUUGCUUUUCAGUUUUUAUCAUUAAUGAAUUUAGUAUUCACCCCUGUCCACAGAUUCAGAACUUCAGAUCUCCUUCAGAUUGGACUCUCCUGACAGCCAUAAUGGAUGGAACAGAGGUCAAAGACUGUGACACAUAUGUUCCUGAACGUGAGAAUGGAUGCCAGCGAGCUACUGACCUCUGAAGGACAAAGGCCAGCCCUGCAGGUGUCUGCUCUGAACUCACAGAGCGGUUUUGCCUCUGUAACCCACAGAAGUGCUAGAGCCAAUGAAGACUGGUCUAUUUUACACAGCAAGGAUGAAAUCUGCAUCUUAUGACACCCUGUGCACCACGCAACUGAGGUUUUACCAGGAACUGCUUGCAGAUAUCUUUGGUGGGUUCAUCGAAGUUGGCAUGCUCAAACUUCACCUCCUCCUCAAGGCAUCUUCUCUUCACUU
Molecule: long non-coding RNA, 448 nt
Organism: Polyodon spathula (Mississippi paddlefish)
Lineage: Eukaryota; Metazoa; Chordata; Actinopteri; Acipenseriformes; Polyodontidae
Exons: 3
Source: RefSeq, a predicted model, not a curated record